UCGGGAAUUUUGGGCAAUGGGCGAAAGCCUGACCCAGCAACGCCGCGUGAAGGAUGAAGUAUUUCGGUAUGUAAACUUCGAAAGAAUAGGAAGAAUAAAUGACGGUACUAUUUAUAAGGUCCGGCUAACUACGUGCCAGCAGCCGCGGUAAUACGUAGGGACCAAGCGUUGUUCGGAUUUACUGGGCGUAAAGGGCGCGUAGGCGGCAAUUCAAGUCAUCUGUGAAAUCUCCGGGCUUAACUCGGAACGGUCAGAUGAUACUGCUUUGCUAGAGUGCAGAAGGGGCAAUCGGAAUUCUUGGUGUAGCGGUGAAAUGCGUAGAUAUCAAGAGGAACACCUGAGGUGAAGACGGGUUGCUGGGCUGACACUGACGCUGAGGCGCGAAAGCCAGGGGAGCAAACGGGGAUUAGAUACCCCCGUAGUCCCUGAGCGGGCUGGCAAGGCGCAU
This 448-nucleotide ribosomal RNA is filed under the name uncultured bacterium. Its description in RNAcentral is "bacterial SSU rRNA". It matches the Rfam family "Bacterial small subunit ribosomal RNA", at positions 355 to 825 of the family's 1533-position model. The record is from RNAcentral.